AAAACUAUAGUUUAAAAAAAAAUUUAUGAUUUGCAAUCAUAAGAUAUUUAUAUAAAAAUUAGUUUUG
Molecule: transfer RNA, 67 nt
Filed under: Pisidia serratifrons
Lineage: Eukaryota; Metazoa; Arthropoda; Malacostraca; Decapoda; Porcellanidae
Description: tRNA-Ala
Source: RNAcentral